This 430-nucleotide ribosomal RNA is filed under the name uncultured bacterium. Its description in RNAcentral is "bacterial SSU rRNA". It matches the Rfam family "Bacterial small subunit ribosomal RNA", at positions 957 to 1388 of the family's 1533-position model. The record is from RNAcentral.
UAACGCGAAGAACCUUACCUGGGCUUGACAUGUGCCUGACCCCCCUGGAAACAGGGGUUCCCUUCGGGGCAGGUUCACAGGUGGUGCAUGGCUGUCGUCAGCUCGUGUCGUGAGAUGUUGGGUUAAGUCCCGCAACGAGCGCAACCCCCGUCGCAUGUUGCCAGCAUUUAGUUGGGGACUCAUGCGAGACUGCCGGUGACAAACCGGAGGAAGGUGGGGAUGACGUCAAGUCAUCAUGCCCCUUAUGUCCAGGGCUACACACGUGCUACAUUGGCGCGUACAGAGGGCUGCGAUACCGCGAGGUGGAGCGAAUCCCUUAAAGCGCGUCUCGGUUCGGAUUGCAGGCUGAAACCCGCCUGCAUGAAGGCGGAGUUGCUAGUAAUCGCGGAUCAGCACUGCCGCGGUGAAUACGUUCCCGGGUCUUGUACAC